CAGGCACACCCUAAAACGUAUAAGAAGAGGUCUCAGAUGUGUAGUUUAUGGGAUGUUUCUGAUAAACUGUAGGUUUCCAUUUGAUUGGAAGGCUGAACAGGUGGUUUGGGAGAUGCGCAGUGUUGCCCAACGUCACAAUCGGUGGUGGUAUAAAUCCCCCUGGGUUUGUCCUCCUGUCAUUUAUCUUGAGAAAAGACGAAGGCAGGAAAGCUACAUUACGCGCAAUUGGUGCAGGGAAGAAACCAAUAACAAGAUGACUAAAAUGGUGAUGGCUUACAUUGGGUUCCUUCUCCUUGCCAUGCGUUUUUCGUCACAGGUCCACGCGCAAGACCCUACCACACAGUCCCCUGCCAUGAAUGCUACGACCAAAGCUGGAGGUGCGAGUUCCAACAUGACCAAGAUGCCUGAUGUCACCAAGAACAACAUUGCCAAAGGAGCCAGUGCAUCUUUGCAGUCCAGCUCCGUUGUGCUCAUCAUACCCAUCAUGGUGGGGGGCUCACUACAGGGGUGCUUCUAGAGGGCUGUUGAGCAGUGAACAGACACCAGGAAGACUUUAACAUCAGCGGCCUAGAUGGGGCAAACUGUUCUACCAAGAUAACAUUUAAAAAAUAAUAUUCAGAAAGGCAGUCAUGUUUGCACCUAACCGAAUAGAUUCGAGGGAGUUCCGUGCCAGACCAGAACCCAUUUCUACUUCACCAAUUGGAAUUGUUAUUUGCCCUCACACCUUCAAAUCAGUAAGCCUUCACACCUCACACACUGGCCCCAUGUUCAUAGGCUGAACUGUAUGGUCCUCUCCAUGGAGGCAGUCCAUGAUGAUUAUGUACUGUACGGAACUCUGCUCUUUGAACUGUUUGGUUCCUGUGUAGACACCAGGGGGUAGUUUAGUAAUUUAAGAAGUUAACAUAUCUAAAGAAAUGUUGGUUGAGGCACUUUGAAAAUAAGGUGUAAAUGAAUCUGUGGCACAUGCACGAACAGUGGCAUUUCUGCACCUGCAGUGAGUACUUUGUCAGAGGCUUGAUGUACACUUGUAAUUUAUUUCUAGAGUAUGGAAUUCUAUGAGCUAGCAUGUGAGAUUUAAUUGUAUGAAUCAUGAUGUGAUCUGCUUAGAUUUGUUUUUUUAAGGCCAGGUUCAAUAAACCUUUGAAAUGUAGGUUACUUGUGACAAUUGUCUUGUAAAAUAAAAAUACUUUAACAUAA
Long non-coding RNA from Oncorhynchus tshawytscha (Chinook salmon), 1197 nucleotides. NCBI's taxonomy places the organism in Eukaryota, Metazoa, Chordata, Actinopteri, Salmoniformes, Salmonidae. The record is from Ensembl.